Molecule: ribosomal RNA, 502 nt
Filed under: Salmonella enterica subsp. enterica serovar Infantis
Lineage: Bacteria; Pseudomonadati; Pseudomonadota; Gammaproteobacteria; Enterobacterales; Enterobacteriaceae
Description: bacterial LSU rRNA
Rfam family: Bacterial large subunit ribosomal RNA
Source: RNAcentral
GUCAGAGGCGAUGAAGGGCGUGCUAAUCUGCGAUAAGCGCCGGUAAGGUGAUAUGAACCGUUAUAACCGGCGAUACCCGAAUGGGGAAACCCAGUGUGACUCGUCACACUAUCAUUAACUGAAUCCAUAGGUUAAUGAGGCGAACCGGGGGAACUGAAACAUCUAAGUACCCCGAGGAAAAGAAAUCAACCGAGAUUCCCCCAGUAGCGGCGAGCGAACGGGGAGGAGCCCAGAGCCUGAAUCAGCAUGUGUGUUAGUGGAAGCGUCUGGAAAGGCGCGCGAUACAGGGUGACAGCCCCGUACACAAAAGCGCAUGUGCUGUGAGCUCGAUGAGUAGGGCGGGACACGUGGUAUCCUGUCUGAAUAUGGGGGGACCAUCCUCCAAGGCUAAAUACUCCUGACUGACCGAUAGUGAACCAGUACCGUGAGGGAAAGGCGAAAAGAACCCCGGCGAGGGGAGUGAAAAAGAACCUGAAACCGUGUACGUACAAGCAGUGGGAGC